RNAcentral lists this ribosomal RNA (515 nucleotides) under Ramulus artemis. RNAcentral's name for it is "partial 16S ribosomal RNA". It matches the Rfam family "Bacterial large subunit ribosomal RNA", at positions 1824 to 2600 of the family's 2925-position model. The record is from RNAcentral. Lineage: Eukaryota; Metazoa; Arthropoda; Insecta; Phasmatodea; Phasmatidae.
AAAACAUCUUUUCUUGUAUUUAUUUGAAAUUUGACCUGCCCAAUGAUUGUAUUAAAUGGCCGCGGUAAUUUGACCGUGCAAAGGUAGCAUAAUCAUUAGUCUAUUAAUUGUAGACUUGUAUGAAUGGUUGGACGAAAUAUUAACUGUCUCAUUUAUAUUAUUAAAAUUUAAAUUUUAAGUUAAAAUGCUUAAAUUUAUUUAUUGGACGAGAAGACCCUAUAGAUCUUUAUUUCUUAAGUUUUUUAUUUAUUUGGCUUUUAUAUUUUAAAUAAUUUAAGUUGUUUUGUUGGGGUGACAUAAGGACCUAUAACUAACUCCUUAUAAUUGUAAACAUUUAUUUUUGAAUAAUUGACCUUUUAUUAUUGUAAUAAGAUUUAGAUACCUUAGGGAUAACAGCGUAAUUCCUUUUGAGAGUUCAUAUCGACAAAGGAGAUUGCGACCUCGAUGUUGGAUUAAGAUUAUAUUUAGGUGUAGAAGCUUGAAUAUUAGGUCUGUUCGACCUUUAAAUUCUUACA